RNAcentral lists this long non-coding RNA (1363 nucleotides) under Triticum aestivum (bread wheat). Its description in RNAcentral is "long non-coding RNA (TAES_LNC008303)". The record is from RNAcentral. Lineage: Eukaryota; Viridiplantae; Streptophyta; Magnoliopsida; Poales; Poaceae.
UCUGCAAGAGUGUUCAUACUUUGUACUGGUAACCUAGAAUAAACUAAACCACUAUUAGAGUUAUGAUUCAAUACCACACUCACCGGGGUGAAACUUUCAUACUCAAAUCUGUAAACUUCUUAAGUAUCUAUCUUUUGUUAUCUAUCAAUUAUUGCACAAUUAAAUAAUACAAAUACAAGACCCAUUCUUCCUGAAAAAUCUGAACUACCAUUGACAAUGGAGAUUGUUAUAAAACUACAGAUAAUUAAUAAACAGUCUGGUAACAUAAAAACUGCCAGUAUCUUGUCUCCAAAUACCAAGAAAGGAGCAUAUUUCAACUUAAAUACGCCCACAUAUUAUACAACUGACCAAUGGAACAAAUAGUGAACUUGUUAUAUGUGAACACCUCCAGCAUAGACCAUGCGACGCCCCAUUCACCAGUGUGACUCCAAAGUCAAAAGUAGUGUACUCUUAAACAGAAGUAAGUUAAUUGGUCCCAUUUAUUCUCCCUUUCUUUUUGUGCUGGUCCUUGCUGAUAUUUCAGUGCCAUCCUUGAUCGAUCAGUGAGCAGAGAGAGCAUUUAGAUUAGUCAAAGAGUGAGCUCAGAACAGUAGCAAGAGAGCUCUCCUCACGCAAUUCUCUCCCUAUUUAUAGUUGCACUACACAUCAGGGGAGAGGAGCAACACCUGUAGAUCAUCAACUUAGUCUACACUCGUCAGUUCUGCAAUCUGAGAAAUAAAUGAACACAAGGGGGAAAAAAACUGAUUCUGACCAGAGAAUUCACAAUCCAAAAAACUUUGGGACUCCCUUAUAAGAUAAUAUACCAAAACACCUGAUAAAUCACUUCUAUAGGCACAUUAGGAAAAAUGGCAAUAAGGAGCAUAAAGAAAGAUCACUGAGAAUUGAAUGGUUUCCUUCAAAUAAACAUAUAGCCAAGGGAAAAACAUCAUGUUUUGAUUGGAUUCUUUUUACCGGUGUUGAUACUGAUGGUGUAUCCCAGAUUUCUUUUUUGAGAGAGAACAUAGGAAACAAAACUAAGACAUCCUACCAUCAUAAAAGUAAACUUUUUAUUCUCCUUUUUCUAGCAUAAUCGGAUAUGCAGUUUGUCUAUUAGCCUGGUUCCAACUUUAAUAUCGUAUGGAACAUCUAGGAAACGCAAUGUUUUUUGCUUGGCUAUUCUAUAGAUAUAUUACCAGUUAACUGAUCAAUUAUGUAAAGCAUCGAUUCCUCGGUCACAUUGCUGCUGCAUGAUCUGAAGAAAUAAACGCAGAGUGAUGGGGCUCACCUUGCUGCUGCUGCCUGACAUAGCUUGGCCUUGGGGAGCCACUGGCCACGGGCUUGGAGGAGGAUGGCAGGGGCGCUGGUGAUGUGGUCGCCGUGGAAC